Molecule: unclassified non-coding RNA, 161 nt
Filed under: uncultured Dermateaceae
Lineage: Eukaryota; Fungi; Ascomycota; Leotiomycetes; Helotiales; Dermateaceae
Description: sequence contains ITS1
Source: RNAcentral
AAGAGAACUUGCCCUCCGGGGUAUAUCUCCCACCCUAUGUUUACAUGCCUUUGUUGCUUUGGCGGGCCCGUCUCGCGACCACCGGCAUUUUUGCUGAUCAGUGCCCGCCAGAGGACCCCAACUCUAAAUUUUUUUGUCGUCUGAGUACUAUAUAAUAGUUA